This 253-nucleotide ribosomal RNA is filed under the name uncultured bacterium. Its description in RNAcentral is "partial 16S ribosomal RNA". It matches the Rfam family "Bacterial small subunit ribosomal RNA", at positions 524 to 776 of the family's 1533-position model. The record is from RNAcentral.
UACGUAGGCAGCAAGCGUUGUUCGGAGUUACUGGGCGUAAAGGGUGCGUAGGCGGCGGGGUAAGUUUGAUGUGAAAUCCCGGGGCUCAACCCUGGAAUUGCAUUGAAUACUACCUUGCUAGAGUACCGGAGAGGAAACUGGAAUUUACGGUGUAGCAGUGAAAUGCGUAGAUAUUGGGAGGAACACCAGUGGCGAAGGCGGGUUGCUGGGCUGAUACUGACGCUGAGGCGCGAAAGCCAGGGGAGCGAACGGG